RNAcentral lists this ribosomal RNA (328 nucleotides) under uncultured Ferruginibacter sp. RNAcentral describes it as "bacterial SSU rRNA". It matches the Rfam family "Bacterial small subunit ribosomal RNA", at positions 568 to 898 of the family's 1533-position model. Lineage: Bacteria; Pseudomonadati; Bacteroidota; Chitinophagia; Chitinophagales; Chitinophagaceae. The record is from RNAcentral.
UGCGUAGGUGGGCAGGUAAGUCAGUGGUGAAAUCUCCGAGCUUAACUCGGAAACUGCCAUUGAUACUAUCUGUCUUGAAUAUCCUGGAGGUGAGCGGAAUAUGUCAUGUAGCGGUGAAAUGCUUAGAUAUGACAUAGAACACCAAUUGCGAAGGCAGCUCACUACGGGAUUAUUGACACUGAGGCACGAAAGCGUGGGGAUCAAACAGGAUUAGAUACCCUGGUAGUCCACGCCCUAAACGAUGGAUACUCGACAUACGCGAUACACUGUGUGUGUCUGAGCGAAAGCAUUAAGUAUCCCACCUGGGAAGUACGAUCGCAAGAUUGAA